AACGGGUGAGUAAUGCGUGACCAACCUGCCCCAUGCUCCAGAAUAGCUCUUGGAAACGGGUGGUAAUGCUGGAUGCUCCAACUUGACGCAUGUCUUGUUGGGAAAGUGUUUAGUGGCAUGGGAUGGGGUCGCGUCCUAUCAGCUUGUAGGCGGGGUAAUGGCCCACCUAGGCUUCGACGGGUAGCCGGCCUGAGAGGGCGGACGGCCACAUUGGAACUGAGAUACGGCCCAGACUCCUACGGGAGGCAGCAGCC
This 254-nucleotide ribosomal RNA is filed under the name uncultured Gardnerella sp. RNAcentral's name for it is "partial 16S ribosomal RNA". It matches the Rfam family "Bacterial small subunit ribosomal RNA", at positions 101 to 355 of the family's 1533-position model. Lineage: Bacteria; Bacillati; Actinomycetota; Actinomycetes; Bifidobacteriales; Bifidobacteriaceae. The record is from RNAcentral.